RNAcentral lists this transfer RNA (58 nucleotides) under Ailuropoda melanoleuca (giant panda). It matches the Rfam family "tRNA", at positions 8 to 63 of the family's 71-position model. Rfam says of the family: Transfer RNA (tRNA) molecules are approximately 80 nucleotides in length. Their secondary structure includes four short double-helical elements and three loops (D, anti-codon, and T loops). Further hydrogen bonds mediate the characteristic L-shaped molecular structure. tRNAs have two regions of fundamental functional importance: the anti-codon, which is responsible for specific mRNA codon recognition, and the 3' end, to which the tRNAs corresponding amino acid is attached (by aminoacyl-tRNA synthetases). tRNAs cope with the degeneracy of the genetic code in two manners: having more than one tRNA (with a specific anti-codon) for a particular amino acid; and 'wobble' base-pairing, i.e. permitting non-standard base-pairing at the 3rd anti-codon position. Lineage: Eukaryota; Metazoa; Chordata; Mammalia; Carnivora; Ursidae. The record is from Rfam by way of RNAcentral.
UGGCUCAGCUGGUAGAGCGUGAGACUCUUGAUCUCAGGGUUGCGAGUUCAAGCCCCAC